RNAcentral lists this ribosomal RNA (692 nucleotides) under Bacillus sp. (in: firmicutes). Its description in RNAcentral is "bacterial SSU rRNA". It matches the Rfam family "Bacterial small subunit ribosomal RNA", at positions 61 to 734 of the family's 1533-position model. Lineage: Bacteria; Bacillati; Bacillota; Bacilli; Caryophanales; Bacillaceae. The record is from RNAcentral.
GUCGAGCGGACAGAUGGGAGCUUGCUCCCUGAUGUUAGCGGCGGACGGGUGAGUAACACGUGGGUAACCUGCCUGUAAGACUGGGAUAACUCCGGGAAACCGGGGCUAAUACCGGAUGCUUGAUUGAACCGCAUGGUUCAAUUAUAAAAGGUGGCUUUUAGCUACCACUUACAGAUGGACCCGCGGCGCAUUAGCUAGUUGGUGAGGUAACGGCUCACCAAGGCAACGAUGCGUAGCCGACCUGAGAGGGUGAUCGGCCACACUGGGACUGAGACACGGCCCAGACUCCUACGGGAGGCAGCAGUAGGGAAUCUUCCGCAAUGGACGAAAGUCUGACGGAGCAACGCCGCGUGAGUGAUGAAGGUUUUCGGAUCGUAAAACUCUGUUGUUAGGGAAGAACAAGUACCGUUCGAAUAGGGCGGUACCUUGACGGUACCUAACCAGAAAGCCACGGCUAACUACGUGCCAGCAGCCGCGGUAAUACGUAGGUGGCAAGCGUUGUCCGGAAUUAUUGGGCGUAAAGCGCGCGCAGGCGGUUUCUUAAGUCUGAUGUGAAAGCCCCCGGCUCAACCGGGGAGGGUCAUUGGAAACUGGGGAACUUGAGUGCAGAAGAGGAGAGUGGAAUUCCACGUGUAGCGGUGAAAUGCGUAGAGAUGUGGAGGAACACCAGUGGCGAAGGCGACUCUCUGGUC